GCCGAAAUAGCUCAGUUGGGAGAGCGUUAGACUGAAGAUCUAAAGGUCCCUGGUCCGACCCCGGGUUUCAGCA
Molecule: transfer RNA, 73 nt
Filed under: Cordylochernes scorpioides
Lineage: Eukaryota; Metazoa; Arthropoda; Arachnida; Pseudoscorpiones; Chernetidae
Description: tRNA-Phe
Rfam family: tRNA
About the family: Transfer RNA (tRNA) molecules are approximately 80 nucleotides in length. Their secondary structure includes four short double-helical elements and three loops (D, anti-codon, and T loops).
Source: RNAcentral